CCUACGGGUGGCAGCAGUGAGGAAUAUUGGGCAAUGGACGAGAGUCUGAACCAGCCAAGUAGCGUGAAGGAUGACUGCCCUAUGGGUUGUAAACUUCUUUUAUAAAGGAAUAAAACGAGGCACGUGUGCCUUUUUGCAUGUACUUUAUGAAUAAGGAUCGGCUAACUCCGUGCCAGCAGCCGCGGUAAUACGGAGGAUCCGAGCGUUAUCCGGAUUUAUUGGGUUUAAAGGGAGCGUAGAUGGGUUGUUAAGUCAGUUGUGAAAGUUUGCGGCUCAACCGUAAAAUUGCAAUUGAUACUGGCAGUCGUGAGUACAGUUGAGGUAGGCGGAAUUCGUGGUGUAGCGGUGAAAUGCUUAGAUAUCACGAAGAACCCCGAUUGCGAAGGCAGCUUACUAAACUGUGACUGACAUUGAUGCUCGAAAGUGUGGGUAUCAAACAGGAUUAGAUACCCGAGUAGUC
RNAcentral lists this ribosomal RNA (460 nucleotides) under uncultured bacterium. Its description in RNAcentral is "partial 16S ribosomal RNA". It matches the Rfam family "Bacterial small subunit ribosomal RNA", at positions 338 to 795 of the family's 1533-position model. The record is from RNAcentral.